RNAcentral lists this ribosomal RNA (1260 nucleotides) under Triticum aestivum (bread wheat). RNAcentral's name for it is "partial small subunit ribosomal RNA". Lineage: Eukaryota; Viridiplantae; Streptophyta; Magnoliopsida; Poales; Poaceae. The record is from RNAcentral.
AUGGCCGGGUCCAUCGCGGCCGCGGCCUUCUUCCCGGGGCCGCCGGGGCCGCCGCCGCCGCCCAAGAGCGCCCUGGGCGAGCGUCCGGACAGCCUGGACGUCCGCGGCAUCGCCGCGAGGCAGGCCUCGUCGUCCUCCGCCGUGAGGGCCGCCAGGACGCGCGCCCACGCGGCCGUCCCCAAGGUGAACGGCGGCGGCAAGUCGGCGCUGGCGGACGCGGAGCACGACGCCAUGCCCUCGGCGGCGCAGCCGAGGACGUUCUACAACCAGCUGCCCGACUGGAGCAUGCUCCUCGCGGCCAUCACCACCAUCUUCCUGGCCGCCGAGAAGCAGUGGACGCUGCUCGACUGGAAGCCCAAGCGGCCCGACAUGCUCGUCGACACGCUGGGCUUCGGCACCAUCGUACACGACGGCGUCAUGUUCAGGCAGAACUUCUCCAUCAGGUCCUACGAGAUUGGGGCUGACCGGACGGCGUCCAUUGAGACGCUCAUGAACCAUCUGCAGGAAACUGCACUCAAUCAUGUGAAGGUCGUUGGGCUGCUAGGAGAUGGCUUCGGUUCGACGCCGGAGAUGAGUAAACGGAACUUGUUCUGGGUUGUCAGCCAAAUGCAGGCCAUCGUCGAGCGUUAUCCAUGCUGGGGUGAUACUGUUGAGGUGAACACCUGGGUUGGCCAUCAUGGUAAAAACGGGAUGCGUCGGGACUGGCAUAUACGUGAUUCUGUGACGGGCCUUACAGUACUGAAGGCGACAAGUAAAUGGGUUAUGAUGAACAAGGUUACUAGAAGGCUUGCAAGAAUUCCAGAUGAAGUACGGACUGAAAUAGAGCCGUUCUUUUCUGAGUAUGCUGCUAUUGAUGACCAAGACAACCGAAAAUUUCCAAAACUGCCGGAGCAUGACCGUGCUACCUCAGCCAAAUAUGUCCGGACAGGCCUGACUCCACGGUGGGCUGAUCUUGAUAUCAAUCAGCAUGUCAAUAAUGUUAAAUACAUUGGCUGGAUCCUUGAGAGCGCGCCAAUCUCCAUCCUGGAGAACCAUGAACUGGCGAGCAUAGUCCUGGACUACAAACGGGAGUGCGGCCGGAACAGCGUCCUGGAGUCGCACACCACGGUGCACACCGACUGCGCCGACGAGUCCGGAGAAACAACUCUGCACUGCGAGCAUCUGCUGAGCCUGGAGUCAGGACCGACCAUCGUGAAGGCCCGGACCAUGUGGCGGCCCAAGGGGGCCAAGUCCCAGGAAACGGCGGCUCUGUCGUGGUGA